CAUGCUGACUUUUAUGAGUAGCAACAGACAGGAGUGAGGAGAGGAGAGUGGGCAAUGGGGAAUCACGGCCUAAGAGGAAGAAGGAGACAUGAGUGGCUUCGGCUGCUCAACCCCACUGGGGUGGCUCUGAUAAAACGGCCUCCAGUGGACUUCUCCUGGGAACACUUUUCUAGGGCCUCACAGGUCUCCCAACCUCUUGGUUGCUAUGCCCCUGAAGAACAAUGAAGGAAGGAGUCUGAAUGCUCCUGAGGAAGCAGCCAGCAAACCCAGGCUGAGAAUUCUCAGAGACCGCAGAAAGCGGGGGGUGGUCGGGCUCUAGACAGCCAUUUCUGUUCUGAGGAGGGUGGUCCCAUCAGUCCUCCCUCAGGUGCAUUGCCUUGGCUUUCGAUAGGACCUGGCAUACCUCCCCUAUCUUAAUAUGGGAUGGCCCCCGAAGACCAAAGCUAUCUAUACUGCUGGUGGUGGUCCCCCCAGUUCUCACUUCAUUGCCUUACUUUGAAUCCAGGCAGGUCCUGGGAUCCCUUCAUUUGCUGACCUAACAUUGUCCCUUCAGAACAAAGCCUCCACUUUCUGAUUUCCAGAAGGUAAUUAGGGCACAUGUCUACUGACAGCCUCUCCCAUAGCCUCUCAGUGCUGACAACAGCUCAGGGCAGGAUUCCUCACUAUCUGCACUCUCCUGGUGUCAGCGGACCCUCAGUAUUCACUCUGGGUUCUUGACUUGGCAACUGGUGGGGUCUCAGGUCUGGCCCCUCUAUGGGAUGUCAACCCUUCUGUACGUAAGAAUGCCUUAUCCUCACGAGUUACCUGAGAAGGAAGUGAAGAAGGGCAGUUCCUUUCCCCCUCUUUUAAGGGUUUCCUGGGCUGACAGAAGGAGGUAGAAACUGUAAAGGUCCCUCUUUUCUGGGGUGGGUACAUCUACCCGUGGGAUCUCACUCAAGUUCCUACUGUGACCUGUGAGAGGAUCUGGAUCCCUUUCCUUGAUGACCUCAUACGAUAUAGGUACAUACACCAAGGAUCUCACCUGUCUCCAACCCCCCAAAGAAGGGGGAUCUUCUCAUGUAGUCUCUGUGCAGAGUUCUCUGGACUGAAUAAGGUCCAGGGUCUCUUUGAUGACCCUAUGUUUUGGGGUGGAUUCCUUUCAGUUCUGACUCUGUAUGUCCACAUGGACUCCAGUACCGCCUGGUCACCCUGUCCACUGCUGAAUCUGACUAUGUCCCAAUCCCCUAGGUGCCCAGCGUAGGAAGUGAGCUAGGAAGACUCCUGACCGUCAUUGUCUGGGACCUUUGCCCUUCAGACGUAACUCAAUGACAACUGCCAGGGUCUAGGACUCCUCCUGACUGAACAAAUGCUUUAACUUCCUGAGCCCCAGAGGAGGAAAGGAAAAGUCCCCUCUGCCUGCCAUCCCUUCCCUGGGCCUCUCAGGGCUGACAACAGGGGAGGGGCUCUGUGCAGCCCCUCUGCCAUCAAUCAGUUGGUUGGUCCCAGCAUCCUCACAAGUGCUAGUCUAAUACUGGUUGGUGAUGUGCCUGCUGCCAUCUAUUACCUGGUGUUCCACCUUCCAAUCAAGGCCCCACGUGUCCGAGACACCCAGAAAGGAAGCGAGGCGACACCUCAUCUGCCGGACACGGAGACCUGACCACAGGGGCUUAAUGCUGUGCCACAACCUCUACCCGCGAUCCGGGGAAGCAUGAGCACUCACUCGGGGUCCUCGCCGGGACUCCUACCGGAGUCCCCCGCGGGGCCUGAGGCUCCUUCCUUUGCCCACAGGACACCGCCUGCCUCGGGCUAAGCUCUUGUCUGCCUCAGGCUAAGCUCUCACCUCCCUCAGACUCUGGAGGCUGAAGUCAGUCAGCGAUACUUCCGCCGCCCCUGCCCGAAGCCUCCUGGGGCUCACAGACUGGCCGAGGCUCUCCGCGUCCACUACUGUCUGGGGUCGGUGGGCCCCUCAGGACUCACUCCGGGGGCUUUUUCUGGACUACCAAGAGGUCAAGGGACUCUUAGCCCCGCAACAGAAACGCUGUCACCUCGAUCAGAUCGCAAACAGGAAGUGUGUCGUAGGCCAGCCUGAUAGGCGGGGCCGGGGUUACUGGAGUUGGAUCGGGGCUCUCAUCUAAUGUGUCCCCUCAUUUCUGUGAUACGGGAUCUCCUCAGCUCUCAUUUGGAAUCUUACUUGACUCCAAGCAGAUCCUGGGAAUCCUCCCUCUGCUGAUGUGGUUCCACGCACUUCAGAUCGAAUCCCGUACAGCCCCAGAUCGAAUGCCGCACAGCCAGAUGGUCUUGAAGAGGAAAUCAGGGGCGUCACAUCCGGUUACACCUGCCUGGAGUCUUCUGGGCCAAUAGCGGGGGCAGGGCUGUGCGUGCCAGGCUUUCACGGUGGUGCUUGCUGCUGGUCCCUCGUUAGAGUCCUGCUGACUUCUUGUAGCCUUGGAAUUAAUCCCUCCCUUGAUCCCGUGCCAUGCCUCUCAUGCCAAUGUCCUCAUGCCCCUGGAACCGUCAAGCGGAAUCGAGGGGAUGCUUCAGUUGGGGAGCCCUGCCUGGGUCAGCAGGGCUCAAAGUAGGCACCGGCCCAUGUCUGUGUGACCCACCGCCGUUCUCUGGUUUUGGCUUCUUCUGUCCUCCUUCCUGGGAGUUCUCGUUUUGGCUCCUUUCUUGUGACUUAAUGCUUUCUGGGAAAUGCCGUAUCUUGGCAAACUCUUGGUGACUUUACCUCCUGAAACCCUUGCCAAGUGUGGAAUGGGUCACUUCCCAGCCUUAGUGUGAAAUGAAGCUGGAACGCAAAACAGGCAGUGGCCGGGAUCUCUGUUUACCUUAAAUUAUGCUGGGCCUGACUCAAUAAAGUGAGAAGCUAAACAGUUGAGUUUCUCUGGAUGUGUAGAAGUCAGAGGGAUCUGCUCCUGCUGGCC
This is a long non-coding RNA of Lutra lutra (Eurasian river otter), 2903 nucleotides long. RefSeq lists it as uncharacterized. The record is from RefSeq and is a predicted model, not a curated record. The transcript has 3 exons. Lineage: Eukaryota; Metazoa; Chordata; Mammalia; Carnivora; Mustelidae.